RNAcentral lists this ribosomal RNA (198 nucleotides) under uncultured bacterium. RNAcentral's name for it is "partial 16S ribosomal RNA". It matches the Rfam family "Bacterial small subunit ribosomal RNA", at positions 326 to 539 of the family's 1533-position model. The record is from RNAcentral.
ACGCUCGACACCUACGGAAGGCAGCAGUGGGGAAUAUUGCACAAUGGGGGAAACCCUGAUGCAGCGACGCCGCGUGAGUGAAGAAGUAUUUCGGUAUGUAAAGCUCUAUCAGCAGGGAAGAAGAUGACGGUACCUGAGUAAGAAGCCCCGGCUAACUACGUGCCUGCAGCCGCGGUAAUCUGAGCGGGCUGGCAAGGC